Molecule: ribosomal RNA, 253 nt
Filed under: uncultured bacterium
Lineage: Bacteria
Description: partial 16S ribosomal RNA
Rfam family: Bacterial small subunit ribosomal RNA
Source: RNAcentral
UACGGAGGGUCCAAGCGUUAUCCGGAAUCAUUGGGUUUAAAGGGUGCGUAGGCGGCCUAUUAAGUCAGUUCUGAAAUAUCCCGGCUUAACCGGGAGGGUGGGAUUGAUACUGAUGGGCUUGAGUGGAGUCGAGGUAGGCGGAAUUGACGGUGUAGCGGUGAAAUGCUUAGAUAUCGUCAAGAACACCGAUAGUGUAGACAGCUUACUAGACUUCAACUGACGCUGAGGCACGAAAGUGUGGGGAUCAAACAGG